UGCAAGGCAUUACUUCUUGCUGGCUCUAGGUAUGUUAGUUCAUGCCAAAAUUGUAUCUGUUGAAGGAUAAUAGGGAGUUUCUGUGAUGACUAUUGAAUUUUUACCAGCCAGACCUAUGUUUCAGUGCUAAGGUUUAUAUAUGUUUUACCAUUCCCUUUCUUUUCAUCUAGGCAUCAAUAUAUUUUCCGAACAAGCACAUUGUUUCUCAUGUAAUGAGCAUCUUGUUUGAGAUGAGAACUCACCCCC
This 246-nucleotide unclassified non-coding RNA is filed under the name Hevea brasiliensis (rubber tree). The record is from RNAcentral. Lineage: Eukaryota; Viridiplantae; Streptophyta; Magnoliopsida; Malpighiales; Euphorbiaceae.